This 464-nucleotide ribosomal RNA is filed under the name uncultured bacterium. RNAcentral describes it as "partial 16S ribosomal RNA". It matches the Rfam family "Bacterial small subunit ribosomal RNA", at positions 338 to 795 of the family's 1533-position model. The record is from RNAcentral.
CCUACGGGAGGCAGCAGUGGGGAAUCUUCCGCAAUGGGCGAGAGCCUGACGGAGCAACGCCGCGUGAUCGAAUGAAGGCCUUCGGUUUGUAAAGUUCUGUUGACAGGGACGAAUAUGCGAUGCGAAUAGUUUUUUGUAUGUCCGUUCCUGUUUAGAAAGCUCCGGCUAACUACGUGCAAGCAGCCGCGGUAAUACGGAGGGAGCAAGCGUUGUCCGGAAUUACUGGGUGUAAAGGGCGCGUAGGUGGGUGCUUAAGUCAGGUGUGAAAGCUUCGGGCUCAACCAGGAGACUGCACUUGAAACUGGGUGUCUUGAGGGUAGGAGAGGAAAGUGGAAUUCGUAGUGUAGCGGUGAAAUGCGUAGAUAUCAGGAGGAACACCAGUGGCGAAGGCGACUUUCUGGACUGUACCUGACGCUGAGGCGCGAAAGCGUGGGUAGCGAACGGGAUUAGAUACCCGUGUAGUC